Molecule: ribosomal RNA, 405 nt
Filed under: uncultured bacterium
Lineage: Bacteria
Description: bacterial SSU rRNA
Rfam family: Bacterial small subunit ribosomal RNA
Source: RNAcentral
AAUGGAGGCAACUCUGACCCAGCCAUGCCGCGUGAAGGAUGACUGUCCUAUGGAUUGUAAACUUCUUUUGUUAGGGACGAAACCCUUGGAUUCAUCCGAGGCUGACGGUACCUAAAGAAUAAGCACCGGCUAACUCCGUGCCAGCAGCCGCGGUAAUACGGAGGGUGCAAGCGUUAUCCGGAUUCACUGGGUUUAAAGGGUGCGUAGGUGGAUCAGUAAGUCAGUGGUGAAAGCCCCGGGCUCAACUUGGGAAUUGCCAUUGAUACUGCUGGUCUUGAGUUCGGUUGAGGUAGGCGGAAUAAGUCAUGUAGCGGUGAAAUGCUUAGAUAUGACUUAGAACACCGAUUGCGAAGGCAGCUUACCAAGCCGACACUGACACUGAGGCACGAAAGCGUGGGGAUCAAA